AACGAACGCUGGCGGCAUGCCUAACACAUGCAAGUCGAACGGGAUCCAAUCCUUCGGGGUGGUGAGAGUGGCGGACGGGUGAGUAACGCGUGGGAACCUGCCCAGUGGUGGGGGAUAACUGCGGGAAACUGCAGCUAAUACCGCAUGAGCCCGAGAGGGGAAAGAUUUAUCGCCAUUGGAGGGGCCCGCGUUCGAUUAGGUAGUUGGUGGGGUAAUGGCCUACCAAGCCGACGAUCGAUAGCUGGUCUGAGAGGAUGAUCAGCCACACUGGGACUGAGAUACGGCCCAGACUCCUACGGGAGGCAGCAGUGGGGAAUAUUGGACAAUGGGGGCAACCCUGAUCCAGCAAUGCCGCGUGAGUGAUGAAGGCCUUAGGGUUGUAAAGCUCUUUUGCCAGGGACGAUGAUGACGGUACCUGGAGAAUAAGCCCCGGCUAACUUCGUGCCAGCAGCCGCGGUAAUACGAAGGGGGCAAGCGUUGUUCGGAAUUACUGGGCGUAAA
Molecule: ribosomal RNA, 501 nt
Filed under: uncultured bacterium
Lineage: Bacteria
Description: bacterial SSU rRNA
Rfam family: Bacterial small subunit ribosomal RNA
Source: RNAcentral